Molecule: long non-coding RNA, 3525 nt
Filed under: Homo sapiens (human)
Lineage: Eukaryota; Metazoa; Chordata; Mammalia; Primates; Hominidae
Description: HSALNT0161385
Source: RNAcentral
GCGUGAGCCACCGCGCCCGGCCCCAAUGUGUAGUCUUUUAUCCCUCACUCAUCCUUACCCCUGAGUCCUCAAAGUCCAUUGUGUCAUUCUUAUGCAUUUGGGUCCUUAUAGCUUAGCUCCCACUUAUGAGUGAGAACACAUGCUGUUUGGCUUUCUAUUCCUGAGUUACUUCACUUAGAAUAAUGGUCUCCAAUUCCAUCUUGAUGCAUUAUUUUGUUCCUUUUAUGGCUGAGUAGUAUUCCUUUUUCUUUAUCAACUUGGUGAUUGAUGGGCAUUUGGGCUGGUUCUAUAUUUUUGCAAUGGUGAAUUGUGCUGCUAUAAACAUGCCUGUGCAAGUAUCCUCUUUGUAUAAUGACUUCCUUUCCUCUGGGUAGAUACCCAGGAGUGGAAUUGCUGGAUCAAAUGGUAGACCCAAUUUUAUAGUAGUUCUUUAAGGAAUUUCCACACUGUUUUUCAUAGGAUUGUUCUAGUUUACAUUCCCACCAACAGUGCAAAAGUGUUUCCUUUCACCACAUCCAUGCAACAUCUAUUUUUUUGUUUUAUUUUUUGAUUAUGGCCAUUCUUGCAAGAGUAAGGUGGCAUUGCAUUGUGGUUUUGAUUUGCAUUUCCCUGAUCAUUAGUGAUAUUUAGCAUUUUUUCAUAUGUUUGUUGGCCAUUUGUAUAUCCUCUUUUGAAAAUUGUCUAUUCAUGUCCUUAGCCCACUUUUUGAUGGAAUUGCUUGUUUUUUUUGUUUUGUUUUGAGUUUUUUGUUGUUGUUUUGUUUUUUGGUUCUUUUUUUGACAGUUUGACUUCCUCUUUAUUGAUAAUGAAAGAAAUGAAAAUUAAGAAGACAAUAUCAACUUGACUUUUCAAUAGCAAAAUAAAGCAGACUGGCCAUAUCAAGUGUUGGAUGGAGUGUGUAUCCAGGAUUUUCUUUUACUUUGAUGGUAGAAAUAUAAACUGGUACAACUGCGUUGGAAAACAAUAUACAGCUGACAUUUGCAUUCUUUAAAAUCUAGCAAUUCUACUCCAAGUUCAAUUCAAGGAAAAGCUUAGUACAUGUGUCCCCCAAAACAUGUACACAAUAGCACUGAUCAUAAAGGAACAAAAUGGAAAUAAUACAAAAACAUAUAGACAGAAAAUAUAUAAAUUAUGGUAUCUUUUCACAAUAGAGUAUGUUUAGCUACAUGCAACAACAUGGAUAAACAUUAGUAUCAUUUUGCUGAAUCAAUAAAGUAAGUCUCAAAAGACAACAUACAGUUUGAUAUUCUUGUUUGAUAUUCUUGUUUUGAAACUCACAACCUGGUAAAACUAAACAAUAUUUUUUAGGCAUCAAAUGUAUGCAGUAACUCACCUACAUAAAGAACAAGGAGGAAAUAGAUAUAAAAUUCAGGUAUUGGUUAUUUUUGGAGAAAUGGCAGGGAUGUGGGAUUGGGAGAAGUGCUUAGGAAAAAGUAUUUUUGGUAGAAUAUUCUAGCUCUUGGAUUAGAUAGUGCUUUGGGGGUUGUUGAUUAUAGAAUUAAGAAUAAGUACAUUAGAAAACCAACUAUAUAAUAAGUACAUUAGAAACAAACUAUAUAAUAAGUACAUUAGAAAACCCACAAACUAUAUAAAGAAAGUUCCUACAUCUAAGAGGAUGAUGAUGUGUUGUGAAUGAAGGAUUAUGACCAAUCCAAUUCAUGAGGUCUAGUAAAUAAAUAAGUAAACAAUAAAUGAUAAGCAUUUAUAUUAGAAAUGGCUUUGAAUAAAGGAAAAGGUAGUGUCCACAAAACCCACUGGAAGCUCUGAAUUGAGGAGCUCUCAGUUCUUCUUCAUGGGUAGGACUGCCUAGAAGUGAUAAGCAGUCAAUAGUGAUUGCUCUAACUACACCACUAAACAAGAGAGUUUGACUCAUCUCUUUAAUCAAACAUUACAUUCAGAAUAGUAUGUAGUGAUUCUGCAACUGGGAAAAUGGGACUAGUUAAACAAUUAAUCAUCAUUAAUCAUCAUUUUAGUGUUAAUCAUUUUACCUAACUUUUCUUCAAUUUAAAGAAAUCUUAAGAUUUCUUUAAAUCCAAUGACCAAUAACUAAACAUAUAAACUUUUAAACAAAACAGCACACCCUUUCAUGAUUGUCUAAUAAAAUUUGAGAUUGACAGAUGAUGCCCAUAUAAGAUAUUACCACACACACAGCCACACCCACACACACACAUACACAUCGGAUAAAGUAGCAAAAUUUUUAAGAUCACAUGAAACCAAUACCACUCAUAUAAAGAGGGCAAGAAAAACAAUUAAAACCUUAAUGUUGGAUGGAGCUGUGGCCCAUAUUUUUAAAGUUGAUGUUAGUUUAGCCAUGAAGGUGUAAAAUACAGAAAGAAAGUGGGUGAAAAAGACAUAAUCAGAUUACAGAUAUGUUUAUAUCUAUAAAGCAUGGCGUGAGCUAAGAUUGAAUUGUAUAAAAUACAUAUUAGAAAUUAUUUCAGUAAAGGCCAUCGACUUGAAGUCAUUCUGUGAUGGCAGCUUAUCAGAAAAAAAUCAUGGGUCCCUAAUGAGAUGUUCCCUUAACAUUGACUAAAUGACAUUAAAUACACUUUGAUUUAUUAUUUGAAACAAGUAGUAUAGGAUUUUAUUACAGGAUUCUAAUGUGUAUGAAGGAUCACAUGACUUAUGAAAAGUAUUUCUUUAUUUUAUUUUAUUUUAUUUAUUUUAUUUUAUUUUAUUUUUUAUUUUGAGACAGAGUCUCACUCUGUUGCCCAGGCUGGAGUGCAGUGGCGCGAUGUCAGCUUACUGCAACCUCUGCCUCCCAGGUUCAAGUAAUUCUCAUGCUUCAGACCUGAGUAGCAGAGAUUACAGGCAUGUGCCCCCACGCCUGGCUUUUGUAUUUUUAGUAUAGACAGGUUUUUGACAUGUUGGCCAGGCUGGUCUCGAAUUCCUGACCUCAAGUGAUCCACCUGCUUUGGCCUCUCAAAGUGCUGGGAUUACAGGCAUGAGCCACCGCACCAGGCCAGGAGAUAUUAUUUCUUUAUCACCUUGUCCUCUGCUCUGUCCCCAUUCCAUGAGAAAUAUUCCCAUGUUUAGUCUGACUCAGGGCUGGGCUGUGUUUCUCCUACCACAGGUCUUUACAUCAGUAUGGAGUCCUGCUGCGUUCUCAGACAUUUCCUCUGAGGCACUGUAACAGGAAUGAAGGGAAAAAGAUACUAAGGUCAUACAAAUUCACAUGUCAUUGAAGGUACUUGAUUGUUUAAAACACAGGAAGUUUGCAUCCCACUGAAAAGUGUUAUUCAUUGAAAUAACAUUUUACAUUAUGUAUCUUCAGAAAGAACAAAAUAAAUCAAAACUAAAUUUUUUUGUUGGAUAACAGAUGAACAGUGGUUGAUUUCAUCAAAUGUAAUUUUUCAAAGACAAUGCAUUUCAAUGCAAGUUGUACUUGCACUUUCAGAAAAUCAUACCUUUAUACACAGAGCUAAUUCUGAGUAACAAGUCAGUAAUCCAGAUUGAUUCUGUUCCAUCUUGGUGUCACGCGUUUUGAGAACCCUAAUUCGCAUAAUAGGUAAUAUGAAUUGCCUA